GGGCUGUAAUAUUUUUUCUUCAUAAUAUAAAGUCUAGUGAUCAAAGGAGUGCCGGAAAGAUUAGGUACAACACUUGGAUAACUCGAUUAUUAAGAAAGUAGAAACUGUCUGAAAAAUCAAAAAAAUUUCGAUGCUGGUUAACAUAAGAAUUCCCUGACUGAUUGCUGGACUACAUAGCAAUGGUACAUAUGAAAACAGUAGCUCCAAACCUAAUGUCCAGAUGUGCUACAAAAGAAAUCUCGUGUNGUAAUAGAGAUGCAACAAAAAUAUGAUCAGCUUCCAGCAACUGGUGAUACAGUUGCAGGCUUUGCAUCCUCGGCCUUCUCAUGUUCCUUGUUGAGCAUCUGGAGAAACAGUGUUCAGACUAUUAGGUCUGAUCAUCAUAUCAUGUACAAAAUAUCUUGUUCUUAUAACAAUAUUGAAACGUAUAAACUAAGAUAUAUAAAUGUGGAUCUAUAUUAUAUCAAGUGUAUUAGUGCCCAGAUAUCUUCACACAGACAGAGAAGACAUUUAGAAUUUAAGAUUUAUAUAAUCGAUACAACAUAGAUAUACAACUAUUUCCUUAAAAUGAAAUAUAACAGAAUGAAUCCAUAUAUCAAGUUUGAUAGGAAUACUAAGGCAGGACGACCAUAUAGACAUGGUGUCAAGUAACAAGUAACGAUGGUGUCAUAGAUAUAAUGGACAUAUAAAAUUGUAAUAACUAAACAAAAUACAAAAGCCAUUUUUAUCUUGGUCUCACUAUACUUGCAAAACUGAAUACCAUAAGAAUGACAUGUUAAAAACACGAGAAAUUGAUAGUAAUAUUAUCCUUAUUUUUUAAAUCAUAAAAACCCAACUCUAGACGUAAUAGGCCAGAAGGCAGCCAUUCAAAAGUUAUGUUAUGACUAAAACUUUCAAGUUAAAAAUAAUAACAUGAAGUUUUGUAAGCAACUGGCGUUCAUUAUAAGUUAUAACCAAUAUAACAACAAUUGUAAAACAAUUAAACCAACAAUCUAAUUACUCAAAUGUUGACCUCUUAUAAUUAAUGUAGAUAAAACAAAGAAUUUAAACACAUACAUAAACAGAUAUAUGCAAGUUGAGAUGGUUGGCUUUGCUUAAUAAUCGUCAUCACUCAUGUUAUGACAUUUUAAAAUUUGGUAUUUGAAUGUCAUUAUGUAGUAACUAUGCUUCAUUCAAACUUAUUAUUAUAAAACUUAUGAUUUAAUAUCUGCAAAUGCGUUCAAUUAUAUUAUUAAAUCAUGCAUAGGAAGGACAAAUAGAUUAGUCAUUUUAAAGGUUCUUGGCAUCGAGACUCGACUUGGCGUCAAAAUAACCAUGACUCACAAGCACACAGACCUUCACCAAGACUUAAACUAGCCCUUCUACUACAACUACUACGAAGAGGAUAAGGGUAUCCACUAGACUAACCACCUUUCAUAUCCACAGUAAACAAUACUGGGAAGGAGAUAUGCUUAAUAGUAUCUCCAAAAUGAACUAGCAAGUAAAUAAAAACAUUCCAUGGAAAUAUAUUGGAGCACUAAAUUUUUACCAAUUAUAACUAGUCACACAAUUAUAAUUCUUUCAGACAUAAUCUAAAGAAGUUGUAAAAAGUAAGGUGACAUGAUGUGCUUAAACAUAAGUAAAUGUCUAAGAGAAAGAGCACCUUGUUAUUGAUCAAGUUGUGGAGCGCUAUGACACUUCGAAUCAAAGAUGAAAGAUAUAUAACCAGCAUCUGGUCAUUUGUUUUUACUGCAUGAAUAGAUAUUAUCAACGACAAUAGGUAUCACUGUCAGUAAACUGAUAUGGUUUUAAGUACAACAGUCACUUUCAUUUUUACAUUUCCUGAGUAACUUGCAUACCUGCAAAUGCCUUGAUUAAAUCAGCUACAUUUAAAUUGGGAAGAAGGUUGAAUACAUCCUGCAAUUUCACAAAUACAAGUUUAAUAAAAAAAUUGGGGGAGAAGGGGGGAAGGUACCACUAUUAACUCUGACUGCUAGACUUAAACAAGUAUAUACUCCCCCCUGAUCUAUAAGCAUAUCAAUAUUGUUUAGCAGAUGCCAUGCUUUGUUAUUAAAAAAAGAGCAAUUGUUGGAACAUAUUUAACCACAAAAUUUCAUUAGUUUGGUAAAUAAAAAUGAGUAUAAUUUAUACGUAGUUUAAUACAAGGCCCAAAAGUUUAGACUCCAUUCAUUCCAAUUUUCUUGACGCAAAUGAGUUUCUUCUUUGUUCCCAAAAUAUACAGCCUCAUAAUAUCAUAAGAGCAUAUAUUUAGGUUGAUAAAAAAGUAAUAAUCAAUGUGUUUUAGUACAUUAACAAUGAUACGUCAUACAAGUGUGGUAAUUUGUCUGAAUUCACUAGGUUAACUUUUCUCAAAUAUUUUAUAGUUCUACGUUGCAGCAAGAAAAAUACCUAUUCACACUACUUCAGGUAAUGGUUUAGAAUAACGAAAAUCGCAAAAGCCUUCAAACUUCACUACUUUGAGAUUAAAAAAGAGUUCUAAAUUACACAUAAAACUGUGAUUUCAUCUCUAUACAGGUUUCAGAGAAAUUGAAAUGAAAAUAAAUACUCUAUAAGUUUAAGCUCAUCGCUUUGUUUUUUAAAAAAAAAGCUUUAAGAGCAUCUGUGUCAUUAAUGUUUUAAGCCACAAUUCUUCCUCUGUCUGCUGUCAUUUUCUUAAACUUCUCUUUCAAAAUUGGUUUCCUAUUCUUCCCUCUUUUAUUUUUGGCAAGGGAAUGAGGGCAUUACAGGGAAGCAUUAAUGAACUGUAUAUGUAAAUGUAAAUUUAUAAAUUACCUGUAAAUGGUACAAAAUCUCAUGAUUUAAGGGAAGCUUUUCAUCAAUAACAAGAUCAAGAUAAUUUCGUAUCUCUCGUAGCCGAGCAUCCAGUCCCUUUAAGGCUGCAAGUUUUCCUGUAACCUGCACAGGACAGUUGUGUGACAUCAACAGUCAAGCCACAGUAAUAGAAAAAGAAAAGGGAACAAGUAAAUGCUUUUGUUAGUAUUUAUGAUUAUUCAUCAUCCAGUUUUUUAACAUAUAUAUUGAUAUAUUGAUGUAAGAAGUUAAGUUUAAUAGAUGAUCUAGAUAAGCAAAAAAAAAAAACCUCUGUUGCAAGAGUGCUGAUGGUUGUAUCCUUCACAUCUCUCAGCAGGUGCUCCACUCCUGAUCACAGUUUACAUGUCAAAUGUGUUAGAGUUAAAAGGAGGCAUUGAGAAGGUCUGAUAUGCAAAAAAAAAAAAAAAGUUUUCACCUCACUGCUUACCAAUUUCCUCAACCUCAUGAGCAGCAAUUUCUGAAGGCACGUGAACAAAAACUUUCUGGCUUUUCUGAGUAGCAUUCUGUGACCAUAAACAUGAUUAGCCCAAUUUAAGGCACCCGGAAUAUUUUAUUAUCUUAUUAAUUCUGCAACAAUGAUACUACCUCCUUAACCUCUUCAACAGCACAGUAAGCUUUAGUAGGUAUUCCUAAUUCCUUGGGUUGCACAUCAAUGAUAACUAAUACAGGAUUUGGAACGUAACUGUAAUAACAAGAACUUAGUAAUUAAGAACUAUACAACAGAUUAAGGACAGAGCAGUAAAAUAAUUAGAAAGAGAAUGAAAAAAGGAUUUUUCAAAAGGAGGGAAAUUAGAAGUGGUUCCAACUAUAAAAUGCUAUCAAAAUAGGACCAGCGCAUAAAAGGCUAUAGGUGAGGAUGGAUUAAUCUAAAAGGCAGGUUUUACCUCCCCCCCUUCUCUCAGAAAAGUAUAGUUACUCUGUAAGCAUAAUUUACUCCCAGAUGCUUGUAAAAUAAUAAUAUAACUUAUUACGAGUCCCUAAAGCUCUUCUGCUUGCAGCCAACAGAAGAAUUUUUAACAACAUAUAAUUGCAAAUAACAAGCUCAUAUCCGCUAUUCCAACAAUAUAGAACUUUGACCAUUAAAGAUUACAUAUCAAAGUUCUGACCAAAAAAAUAAAGCUCUAGAAACACCUACAAAUUUGAACAUUUAUGAUUUAUAUAAACAAUUACAGAGCUACUGAAACCACACAAAGUUUCAUAGAAAAUAAUAUAAUGAAGAUCAAAGUUAUAAUGUCAUAAAAGUUUUUUUUAUAUAAAUGAUGUCCUCCUGGAACACUCCCCAUUCCUUCAGUUCAAGACUUUCCAAUUUCUGUACAAGACUGUUGUGCAACUUUUUCCAACAGAAUUUCAUAUACAGCUGAUAUAUACUAACCUAUAUAAAGUGUCUUUUAUCUUUCUAAAACUUCUUACCUUCGCAGGCUAACUAUUAAAUAUUAUAGGAGCAUUUGAGGAUCAUAUACAAUACACAUAAUUCUUACUCGUUAAAUAAAGCGUGAACGUCCAAGUCAUUUUCGCGCAGCUUAGGGCCUGUACUAUACCACCCAAUGACAUGCUCCUUUGCUGUUAUGAUUUUCUAAAAGUUAGACAAUGACAUGGGUAACAAAUACUUAAGAAAAUGGAAACAAUGCAUAUUUGAGCUACUAAGACAGGUUGUAGUACAAGCUACUAAGAAAGGGUGUGGUACCAUUUAUCCUCUUGAACAUAGAAAACAUUGCCUCGUGAUAAUUAUGGUCAAGAAACCAUAUGCUUGGAUCUUUAUCAUCCUCUUCAAAGGGCACUACAAAAUUAAGAUUAGAGCAUUUAAAAAGGGAGCUAAUAAGCAAUUAGGUCACAACUUUUCACACUAAAGGAAGUAACAAUCUAGGUCAUUAGUAAAGGAAGAACCUCUUCCAGUCACUUAAUACAUGCAUGAAGUGGUCCGUUCAAGCAUAGAGUAAUUUUUUGCUAACCCGGAAUUUAUGGAAGAUGCCUUCAGUUAAAUCAGAUACUAGUUUUUAGCAAGCCCUACAUUACUAGUUUUUGAAACUUUUUAUAGUCAUCCCUAAAGACUCAAUCCAUCAUUAAGCAAUGAAGUUUAAUGUAAGCAGUAUAUUUGAUUGCAGAUAAUCCACAACCUUCGCUGUAAACAAAAGGGCAUGAUGCGAUUUCACAAAAAUAAAGAUAACACUGAACAAUCUGUUAAUCACAUAGUAACAGCAACAACCAGCUUCGGCAUCCAACAAGUUGGUAACCAAUUUACUCUAUAUAAUGAAAAUGUAUAUUAAUAUAUACAUAUGUGCUGUUCAGGUCGUAAACGGGUUAAUUUAGUAUCACAACAAAACCAACCCACAAACUACGGUUUCUUAAAUUAGUCAAACCGGAACCCGAGAACUUCAUUUUGAUUUCGGUUCGGAUUGGAUUAAAAUAAAGUUAAUUAUUGCCAUUUGUGCGGUUGAACGCAACUCGUGGUCACUCCGUGCACUCUGCUCCAAUUAAACUAAUUCCCAACUGGUCAUCUACAAAUGCCAUUCUAUUUUAAGCCAAAGCCGAUAAACCUAAAACCGAAUUUCCACUUACCAAAAACACGAAAAAAACAUUUAGGAUUUUUAAAAUUCAAUAAAGAUUAUUAGAAUUUUAUGUUUUCUAGAAUCCCACCAUGAUUUACGGGAUUUUGAAGCAUUGUGCUUAAAUCUUAUCAACUCUACAUCAACUCUGCGACAUUUUAUCUAAAAUCUGUUAGACUCCACACAAAAUCAAAAUCAGAUACAAUCCAUUAAAAUUCAUAGAUUAUUACUAAAACAUCCUAACUUAUCGAAAAACCCUAACAUCCUCGAUAAUCAGUCAAAUCCACAACGAAUCAAACAAUUGAGUAGACAAACCGAAGAAAAGAGAUCUGAGAGAGAGAGAGAGUAUAUACCAGCAUAGCUAUUGGUGACGUCGACAGUGCCUUUGAAAGAGCUGCCGAGAAGCACGCCGACGACGCGCUUACGAGUGUCUUUGGCGACGCGAUUGUAAUUGUCGACGAUGCUGAGAAGUACGAGGGGGUGGACUAUCACUUUCUCGAUCGGUCGCGCAAGUAUCUGCUGCGACUUUAUCACAUCCAUUGCUUCGAUUACUUUCUCUCUAGCGUUGCUAUGCUAUCUAAACAAGUCUGCUGAUGGACUACAAAUGUAUCGUAUUCUCGACUCUCGAGGACUUUCGAAAAAUUGUUAAAAGUAUUUCUUUGCACAGUUUUACGAUGGCCAAGUGCUAACCAAAAACUGAAAUGGAUCCGAAUAAUUGAACCGAAUUGAAUAAUUUUGAUUUAGUUUUUUUAUGAAAAUUUUGGUUGAUUAAGUUUUUGUUAUUAUCUAAUUAAUAAUCUGAUCCAGUUCGAUUAUUCAAAAUAUUAAUUUGAUCAAAUUAAAAUAAAUAAAUAAUGAUUUUAUAUUUUUAAAUAACAUAUUUUGGAAUUUUUUCCAACUUUUUUAUUCUAGUUCUUUUGAUGUUGUAAUUUGGAAGUAGAACUCCAAAAUUUGGAGUAACACAAUAAGAUAUCAAAGAAAUUGGAUUAAUACAUAUUCAUUGUAGAAUUAAUUUCUAAUUAUAUUUUCCAUACAUUAUGUUUUCUACGGUGUCCAAUCAAUAUUUACCACUUAUGUUAAAGUGAGUGGCAUUAGUAUUAUUGGGAUGUACUUGUAUAUCUAUUACUACAAGUUUUAUUUUGAAAUACGGAUUUUGAAUAAUUGAAACCGAACUAAUCGAAUUAUUUCAGAUCGGUUCGGUUCAAUUUGAGACACUAUUUCAGUUAAGUUUGAUUUACUAAAAAGAUCAUAUUUUAAUUUUUAAUUAUUUCAAUUCGAUUUGAUUUUCACCAAAACCAACUAAAUGCUCACCCCCAACUUAUCGAAGGGCACUAUUUUAUUUAAAAUCUCAGAGACCGUGUAUAGUGCUAAGCAUUCGAUCAGUUUGGCCUAGAACCAGACCGACCCUAAAGAAUCAAAAAAUGAAUUAACCUUUUUACCUGGACCGAACCGGACCGAAAGAUGAUAGCCGAUUGAUUUAGUAAAGUGUAUAGAAGGGGCUUUCAACUGAUGAAGGUUGUUAAGCACAUCAGUUGAAACAGUCAUAGAAGGGGCUUUCAACUGAUGAAUUAUUACUAAACUCUAAAGAGAAUAUCACUAAAUUCUCCUUAUUUUACAAACUAAAACCCAACUGAAUUAUUACUAAACUCUAAAGAGAAUAUCACUAAAUUCUCCUACAACCCCACCUUCUUCUCCAACCCAGCCUGCCUCCACCUUCACUUCCAACAACUUCAUGCCGCCACCCCAUCCAUGUCCGCCGCCUCUCCAUGUUCGCCUCCACCAUAUCUACAACCAACGAAUCCCACCCACCUCCACCACCUCCACCUGCGGCAUCUUCCAUAUUCUCUAUAGAAUUCAAAAGCCGAUUGCAAGUUCUUGAAUUUCUGGUUCAAAAACGGUAUCUUCUCAGCAACACAUGCGGAAAUGUAGCCCAUGCUCUGUAAAUCUUGUAGCAAUUCGGAUUCUCUACUAUCCAUGACUAUAUAGAAUUAAAAAGAUAUAGUGAUGAGAAGAACUCGUAUCAGGCGAAAUAUAGUAUUCUGCUUCUAUAAUUUUAUGUCUUAUACUAUUCUGCUACUAUAAUUCUCUGACUAACCUUUUUCGGUGAACUCGAGUUCCUCAUCUGCCAUGGAUUUUAAGCUUGUAACUGAAGCUUGUAACUCGGUGAAAAUGGACAUUCAGAUUCUUUCCAUAUGUAUGCACGAAGACAAAAUAAAUUAUCAAAAUUAAAAAUCUAUCUAAACAUGGAAUGUAUUAUUGAUUGAAUAUGUGGAUAUGUAUAUUACUAAACUGCCCUCUAUAAAUUAGAUUUGAUUGCCUUUUUAAUAAAUCACAAUUAAAAACAUGAUUUUAAGAUGAACGGUGAUUAAGUGGGUUCCUCGGUUUUCUUGAUAGGUUGGGUUUUCUUAGGAUCUUUCUCCUAUUUUAUAUAUAUAGGGGUGGUUUUCUGGUACAAACUUACAAACUUUAUAUAAUUUGAGUUCAACAUUUUUUUAACAUAUUUCGUUGAACAUCGAUUAAAAUUGUGUAGGAGAAGUACAUAAACUAAUUUUUUAAUGUAAGAACUAAGUUAAACGUAUUAUAUAACUAAUAUUUAUGUUUCCACACCCUACCCAAACCCUGGAGGUAUAGUUUAAGCAUCUUUAUAGAUAUAUUCAACACAAUGAUAAUAAGUGUUCUACACCCGAUAUUGAACCCCAGUUAUAAAUGUGUUGAAUGCACGAUUUAAUUAUGCCUUAUUUAUAAAAAAUUGUGAUGUUUUUUGAAGAAUUUUCAACAUGGAAACUUUUUAUAACUAAAGAUUAACAAGAUGGGAGAAUAAAAAAAAGUUUGUAAAUUUGUAACUUAAAAAAGUUUUUAUUUGAUUUUAUUCCUAUAUAUAUAUAGGGGAGGGUUCAAAUACAAAUGAAAAAUAAACUAAAAAUUACAAACUAUUACCAUCAUCUUCACCCAAAUCGUAAUAAUGGACCUCUUACCACCAUUACCAGACGUUUCUAUGACUUGCCACCAUUGUCUAUCAUCACCAAUAGUCACAUACACUUUUCAUCAUAACUUACAAAACUAACGACUACUUACCAUCAUCAUACAACUUCUCUUGUGGCUUUCUACCGCCAAGAACCUUCCUACGGAUGAAAUUGAUCAUCUAUAAUCAUUAUCAAUAGUUUAGAUAAGUAGAUUUUCUCAAUUUUGAUAAUAAAAAUCGUUGUUUACAAACUGUAUAAAAAUAGUGAUUAGUGCAGUAUAAAUUAGUGAUACCCGUGGUCAUAAAUAGUGGUAGGGAAACUGGUUUCUAGUUUUUAUUUUAAGAGUGGUUUCUAUUUGAUCAUGAGCCUAUAUAUAUAUAUAUAUAUAUAUAGUCACAAGAUACAUUCUCGUAUGAUGAAUUAUAUCAAAAUACAAGAGCCGCUACCAGGAGUUUCUUUCGUUCAAGAAAGUUUACCAUCUAACUCUUGGACAGAGGUGACCGGGGACACUUAGAUUAUAAAAUUUUAAUGUUCGAUAAGAAAACAACUAAUAACGAAAUUGGAUUCGUUGGAAUUCAUAUUGUAAUUAGCAUUUGCAUAACAGGUCCCGCUAUCAUUCAAUUUUCCGCUCGUGUACCCUGAAAAAAUACAAUACAAAUAAAAGAACGUAAUAAGUUCAUACAGACAAUAAAAGAAUAUAACUAUCUAAAACGAUAGAGGAAAAGAGUCAACGAACUCAUAAUUAAAAAGGAAAAAAAUAUGAAACAGAUGACUAAAUAAAUGACUGGAUCAAUUAUCCGAUUGAUAAAUACUACGUGCAAAGCACUAGUCUGGUUCACAAGCGACUAACACUAAAGUCAAAUUUCGUACUGUCUUUGUCAACAAAUAUUGAUCAGUUGGUUCCAAAUUAGUUAUGCUUCAAUAAUUAUUGAUUAUAAAUAAUCAACCGACAUAAACUGGAUUCUUCUGGCACUUCAACUGAUUCAAAAACACUCUUGCAACCAGGCUUUAAACUUUAUUUAUCACAAAGGCCGAGGUCUGCCAUUGUGAUCUUGAACAGACUUUAGGAUUCUUUAAUAUUCUAAUUCUUUGUAUUUGCCUUAUACUCAAAACUUAAUGAUUCCUCGUAUAUCUUGCUUCAACGGUUGCACUGAAACCUUCCGAGUACUUAGACAACAUCUUCAUUGCUUUCACAUUCUUGAAUACUUCAAUCUUUAUUUUUCUCUAAGACAUGAACAUAUUAAUGAACUUCCUCCAGUGAACUUAUUCCUUCAAUACUAUAGAUGGCUUCUUAAACAUUUGUCGCCGUACCUUCAGAUUCCUAUGCAGGCGCAAUAUUAUUUACUUGCAUGUUUUAUUGUUGAGUUAUCAUAAUUAUGUGCCAUAUAUGGUUGUCUUUACAUUUAGACAUACAAAUCAAAAAAACAAUCCUGGCCUUAUUAUAUUACACACACACACACACAAAAAUAUGAAUUUUAUAAUUUCACGCCGGCCCAGCCCAUAAUAGUCUAACCCAUUAUAAGCUUUUAUCUCUUCCUUACCAUAUCCGCCCCUUUAUAAGCUUUUAUCUCUUCCUUGCCAUAUCCGCCCCUCUUUCCGAGAAUCUCACCUCUUUCACGAUCUAGCGAUUUGGUAACUUCUACUAUAAAUCUUCAAGUAAGUCUUUUAUAAUUUGGUAGCAUAUUAUCAAUUAAUCGUCAAGUAAAAUUGUUUAAUCAUAGUUCUUGUGUAUGUAGAUCUUGAUGAUAUCUUGUGUUAUUCUGUGUUUACAUAUCUUGUUACCCAGUGUCAUUGUGCUAGUAAAUAAUUGAUAUCAUUUUGAUAUACAUAUAUAGGCCAACAUUCCAGGGAGGUACUCCUUAUGUGGAGUUACAUAGUACAUCAUUGUAAAUCAUCAAUUUUAUUAUUAAUUCUAUUAUAGAAUACAUAGAAUACAUAUAAACGUGAUUCUAAUAUAGAAUACUAUAAUAUAUAUCUAUUUUAAGUAAUUUAACACUUAAAAUUUAAUGAAAAAAGCAUAUUUUCGAAACUGAUUCUAGAACAGAAUAAAUCUGGAUGAUUAUUAUUCUGUUAUAGAAUCAUGUUGAGAUAUUGCAUAAUUUUAGAUGAUUUUUUGGGAUAGAAAAUUGCAUAACUUUUUUUUUCUGUUUAAUAAUCAAAAUUUGUAAUUAUAUUCUAUAAAAGAUAUAAUAGAAUAUAUAUUAUGUAUAUAUUUAUAAUGGUGUGCUACGUAACUCCAUAUAAGAGGGUAUGCUAUGGAGUGCUACCCAUAUAUAUUAUAUGCAAUUCAGUAUACAUACUUUUAAAUUUAUGUUGGAGAUGUGAAUUUAUUUACUCAUCACUUUCAUUACAAUCAUUAAGAAGGAUAAUUUCUAAUUACCGUCAAAUGCCGGAAGUUUUGAGUUUGUAUCAUGUGUAUGAUUACACACAUGCGGAGGUGGUCAUGCGAUUGUUAGUAGAAUUUGGAAAGAAUAAUAUAGGGCUGUUCACGAACCGAGCCGAGCCGAGUUUUGACCGAACCGAGCCGAGCUUUAAUUUUUUUUCUGACUAGCCGAGCCGGGCCGAGCUUUUUUAUCGAACAAAAAUUGUGUUCAAGCUCGGCUCGUUAACUAACUAGCUGAACACGAGCUUGUUCGCGAACAAAUACAAGCCGAGCCGAGUCGAAUCGAGUCGAGCCGAGCCAGAAAAAAAAUAAGGACAAACCGCUAGUUGACUCUUAAAAUAGCUAACCAAAUAAUUUUAAUUUUUUUAAACUUUGUUUAUAUCACUAAAAUGUAUAUAUGUUAACAUCCAUACGGUUGGAUCGGUAAGAAAUAUUUUUUAAAAUAUUGAAACACUAAAUUAGGAUUAAACACUAGUUAGCGGUACUAGUUAACCUUCUACUUGACUGUUAAAAUAGCAAACCAUAUAAAAUUAUUAUUUUCCGAAAUUUUGGUUACAUCACUAAAAUAUAUAUAUAUAAUAUAUAUAUAUAUAUAUAUAGUAUAUAUAUACAGCUUUUCGAGCUUUAACGAGCCGAGCUCGAGCCGAGCUCGAGCCGAGCAUACUAAAAGCUCGGCUCGAGCUCGUUUACUUAAGUAACAAUUUUUCGUGUUCGAGCUCGUUAACUUAACGAGCCGAGCCGAACGAGCUCUUAACGAGCCGAGCUCGAGCUUGUUCGCGAACAGCUCGGUUCGUUAAACAGCCCUAGAAUAAUAUGUCAAGGUUAUCAGAGCAUCUCAACAAGACUCCUAAAUCAUUUUUUAAUAAAAUAUGUAGCUCCUACUACAAUAUAUUAGUUAUUUUUGUAAAAGCUUGUUGAAGUUUGAUGUAUUGUGACCGGUGGAUUGUCAACGUCCACGAUCUAGUCGCACAGUCGAUUUAAGUGAUACAUAACACUAUACAGCUCCUAAAAACAUUUAAAACUAAUCUUUUGGAGUUCUAGAUAAUUAUAAAUUGAGAUGGAUAAACUCUAAAAACCUAAACCUAGCCUAUCUCAAAAACCUAGGAAAUUAUUAUAUAAAGGGUUCUACCCCUCAUAAAUAGAAUUAUUUUUUGGCUUGAUCUUUCAUGAGCAUGAAAGUACAUAGGCAUCUCCUAAGGAUCAUCUUAGUUCCGGUACAAGAGAGUAGACAUUAAAACUUGACACUCACUAUUCACGAUCAUUGAUCUUCAACUAAUUUUCAUCCGUAACAAAAGUGGAAUGUGUGUCCCAAUGACAACGAUCCAAAAGUUAAAAGUGUCAAUAUUGAGCCCCUUGUGAGUGUAUCAGUAAGGCGCACAAGUCCGAAAUAUUACAAAGAAUAGUAAUAUAGCAAGGCAUCAAAAGUUAGUUGUAGAGCUAUUACACAAAUAUUAAAAAUGCAUGAGGUGAAAUUGGGAUACACAUUCUCAUUUUUUCAUUAAUCUGUUAAUGAUUUUAUUUAUGAAUACUUGCUUGCUUGAAACUAAAUAAGUUAACCUCAGAGACAUAACAAAAAUAAAGUGUUAAAAUCUAAAACUUAUACAUAUAAAGUUAAAAAGAACUAAAAAUAUCAAUUAAAAAAUUACCCUAAUGUUGAACGCCAAUAAAAUCGCAUACAACAUUGUCGACCAAUAAAAUCACGUAAAACAUUUUUAGGCCGUUUUCUUUGGAAAAACAUAAUCUAAAAACAAAACCCCAUCAUAUCCGUUCUACAUAAGGUCUACAAGAGUAAUGAUAAGAUCUUACAUUCAUUUAAAAGAAUGAAGAAGCAGUUUGCUAAAAGACUUAUGACUUUUGUGAGGGUGUAUUGAUAAGAUAUGUGAAAAAGCAUUAUAAUAAAGAAAAUAAGAUGUGAUAUCAUAAAUUAUUGUUUAAGUCACUUGUAUUUUUUAAUAAUUCCAAACCUCUCAAGAUUGUCGCUCCCAAAUCAAAUAAAUUGUGAGAUCACAUUUUCUUAGAGUCUUACACAAAAUUUUCGCGGUAGAAGAAAUCAAAUGAAUACUUGGCGAAAAGAAGUAAAGGGAAAUUAAUUCUAUUUUACAUGGUAAAUCAUUAUACUUUAAGUAGUAGAUAAAUAUUCAUAUUAGUAUAAAUGUGUGUAAAUAAUAUAUAUAUAUAUAUAUAUAUAUAUAUAUAUAUAUAUAUUUAUAUGAAAAUGAUGUAAAUAUGCGUUGAGAAAUGAAUUACUAAUCUAAUAAAUGAAUAUUAAAUGAUUAAAUUGUACUAAUUAAUUUAUUAAAGAACAUCAAUAUAUAUCAAGAAUGAUAAUCCUAAACUACAAGAUAUAUAAAUCCUAUCAAUUCCAAUAACUAAUCCACUACUUUUAUCCCUCCAAGAACUCCAAUCAUAUAUCAUAUUCUCAUGAAAGUUUGCAUUCCUUCCAAAUCUUCCCAAUGUUUUCCUGAGAAUCCUGGCAGUUUGCGAAUAUUAUACCAUCUUGGCUCUUGCCAUCAUAUUUGAUAUAUUAGAAUAUGGAUGUCCAUGAAAUCAGUCAAAGCCUCUGGUCUUUUCCAUUAAGAGGCCGUUUGGAAACUUUCAUUUCAUUUCAAAUGAUGAAUUUUAAAUGAGAGUUGUCAUUUCAAAUCCUCGGAUUUAUACUAAUAUUUGAAUGUGUGGAUUUCAAACGAAUUCCAAAUCCAAAUUCCCAAACAUGUUAUUUGACCAAAUCUAGAAUUUCAAAUCAAAUCCAGUUUCCCAAACAAGCCAUAAAUGUUUUUGUUGCUUCUUAAUUGUGAGUUGUGUCCAACAUAUAUUACUGUACUUUUGUUACUCUUAUCUUUCGAGGGUCGUAUCAAAUUCGACAAUAGACUAGAACAACAACAGAUUAGCUUACUUGAUGUGUGCUACAAUUGUUGCUAUUAAAUCUGUUGCUUUCUGCACCUGUCUAGCAUUUUCUUUUAACAUUUCUGGUUUUCUUAAUUCUUGUCAGAUGAUGACAAGGGACUUCAAAUUAUCUUUGAAGUUGAGGGAGCCAACAUCAAUAUAUGAGUUAUCAGAUGAUAAUCUCAGUGAGAUAUUCUUUAGACUGCCGGUGAGAGUUCUUUUGUGCUGCCAAUGUGUGUGCAAACGCUUUAGCAAAGUGAUCACCGAUCCAAAAUUCAGAAAAAUCCAAGUUAAUCGAGCCAUGGCUUCCAACACCACUUCUUUUUGUUUGGUUCAUCUUAUUGUAAGUGAUUUUAGUGAUAUAUGUGGCAGUGUUGAGAAUUUCAAACAUCGGUAUGAUCACAUUCUUCUGGAGAAGACACAUUGUUCUGCAUCCUCUUCUUAUCUGAGGCUCAGCAACCCCUUAAUAUCUGACAUCUCUAUAGUAGGUAGCAGUAACGGUCUUGUGUGCGCUAAACUUGAGUCCCUCGCGGAUCAAAAUGAAUCAAACAUGUUGAUCUGGAACCCUGUUACCAGAGAAAAUCGCUUCGUUGCUGAACCAAAAAGGCAUUCCCGGCCCACGAAGCGAAACCGGUGGUUUCUUAGACACGGCGAGCUAAAGCUAAAAAAUGAUGGUUCACGAUUUAAAAAUGUUCUUGCGCAUGCAUUUAGUUUCACACCCGGAACCAAUGAUUACAAAGUGGUAAGAAUCACUUCUUAUAAGUAGCCCGGUGAUGCUAUAGUCAUUAAACUGGAGAUUUUUAACAUGAGUCCUGACAAGUGGAGUACGUACCAGAUAAAAACUCUGCAAUGUCGUGAGAUCGAUCAUAUGCCUCAGCAGGUCGAUCCCUCUAUGCUCUUAAAAAUGAUGCGGUCCCACAAUACCCGGUCUUUAAAAGGGGCAUUUCAUUGGCUUUGUGAUGCCUCACUAGGUGCAAGUGGGAAUGAUACCGCAAUCUUGUCAGUUGGCCUUGAAGCAGAGCAAUUGAGAUUGUUCACAGUGUUGGAUUCUAAUAAAAUUCCUCGUCUAAAGUCUGGGAAGCUAGAUUGUAUGAAUGACUCGCUAUCAUUGAUUGUUCCUAAUUAUUCAAGUGGUCCUUGCCCAAUCAUUGAUAUAUGGGUGAUGAAUGACUAUGGGGAUCGGAACUCCUGGAUUAAGAAGUACUCUGUCAAUCAGUUUCAAGGACGUGGAACAGAGCCAAUAGGAUACUGGAAAUAUGAUCUCUUCCUGAUGGCCAAUUUGACGAGGAAUCUAUCUUUAUGCUUGUAUAACCUCAGAAACCAAGAAAUGAAGUCCUUCCCAGUCCAGUGGCAUUUCUACACUGCUGCUUUUUAUGAUUAUGUUGAAACAUUUGAAACAGUCAGACCGGCGAUUGCAACUACAGCGGAGGCUGUCUAGUAAGGUAAUAUACUUGCAUCUAUUUACACCACAGAGUGUAUCUUUACCACCUUGCUGAAGAAUACAAAUUAUUCCAGAAUUGAAAAACGAAAACAAAAAUUUGUGUUGCAUAUCAACACAAAUCGCUAUUUGCAGUAUAUCUUAUAUGUAAUACAUACAUAUAAACAUUCAAACUAGCAAGUCACUUGGAUCUUUUCAAGUACUUUGUUCAUAAUGUGUCACUUACAGAACUCUCAAUUUGCCCAAAUUUCUUCGUUAUGGUGCAUUUAUGGAAAUGAUUAUAGCGUGACUUGUUUCAGAAUUACAGUUUCAUAUUUCAACUUUAAAAGCGUUUUCUUGAGUUUUUUCAGGACUUCAGUUUCCUAAUGCUUAAUUAUUUGACUUUUAGGUAUGAAACUGAAGCUUCUUGAGAUUUUCUGAGGAUUGUACUUGAAAGGCACCAAUUUGUCAAGUCCACAUGAAUCUUGGUCCGAAUAUGCCUUCAGCUAAAAUCUCAUAUAUGUUCUUUUAAUUAUGCUCUCUAUGGACAUCAUUUGUAACUUUGAUUGCUGGCUUUGUACAAGUUUACUCUUUUCAUUUUAAGUUUUAAUAUUGUUGCCGACCUUGUAUGAAAAUUGGAUUUUGUUGGUAUAUUCCAGCCAUCUUAUAUAUAUACAGCUUAAGUUUGGAAAUCGGACUACAGAUAUUAUAGGGUAAUGGUGGAGCAUAAAAUUAUAUAUUAUUCGCUCCUGCUAGAUGGCAGCAUUUACAGACCAAAAUGCAGAUAAUGAUCAGAAUGAGCAAAACCAUUAUAUUGUGUCUGUUUGAGAUGAAUAAAUUUGGAAGAAUGAAAUGAAAUUUAAAUUAUGUUAUGGAUGAUGGCAGUGAGGUGCAGCCCAGGGGAUUUUUUUUUCUUUUUUACCAAAAUUUUCUAUAAUAUACAAUGAUAAUAUUUGUUCUUCUCUCUAAUAGUAUAAGCAUUUUAAUAUAUUUUUUCAAUAUAUAAAUGAAAACUCAAAAACCAAGUACGGUUCUGUCUCAAAAUUCGUAGCUUUCUUUGUUUCUCUAUUUACGUUUACAAGCUUUUGCCGUUCGAUGUGGCUUAUUGGACCACCUUUGAGCUAAAGAAAGUUUCAUACGUUUCGCAUGGGCUAUAAGAUCAUCCAAAUCUGGAAUUGAAGAUAUGACCAAAAUAGUGUAAAACUGAAUUAGCAUAAAAUAUACCUCCAAAAUUUGGAUCACUGUUGGAGGAUAAUUUGAGAUAAUAUGUCCCAAAUUUGGAUUUUUUAAUCAAUGUUGGGUUUUCCCUUAACAUAUUGCUAUGUUUCUAUGCAUUAAAACUAUUUUUCUUCUUCUUAGUAUUCAUAAAUUGCAAAUUGUAUGUGAAUUACUUGUUAGUUUACAUAAUUAAAAAUUGUAAUUCAUAAGAUUUUAUCUUUAUUUUUUUUACUAUUCUUUAUGCAUCGUUUUAAUGAAAUACAAGGACUCUAAUUAAAUAUUAUGGUAGAUGUGUUUGAAACACGGAAUAUUGAAGUCUAAAUUAAUAUAUAUAUAUAUAUAUAUAUAUAUAUAUAUAUAUAUAUAUAUAUAUAUAUAUAUAUAUAUAUAUAUAUAUAUACACAACAANNNNNNNNNNNNNNNNNNNNNNNNNNNNNNNNNNCUUACAUAUAUUACACACACAUACAUAACAUAUGUGUCAAGAAUAUAUAUACAUAUAUGUCAUAUAUAUAUAUAUUAUAUUUAAUUAUAUAUACAUAUAUAUAUAUAUAACACACACACUAACACACAUAUAUAUUGGUCACCUCUAGAUUUAGCUUUCUGUGGAAGUUCUGACACAAGCAGCAGAGACUAGCAAUACAUGACUGAGGCUUUGAUUUUGGCUAGGCUUGACUCUGAAACAGAUGACUAAAUAAAUGACUAGAUCAAUCCUCCGAUUGAUAAAUACUACGUGAUCUGUAUGUGCUUAUGCUUAGUGCAUUGGUCUGGUUCAUAAGCGACUAACACUGACGUCAAAUUUCGUACACUCAGCAAUCAUUGAUCAGUCGGUUCCAGAUUAGUUAUGCUUCAGUUGUUGAUUAUAAAUAAUGAACCGAUAUAAACUAGAUUUUUUUGGCAUUUCAACUCAAUCAGAAAUACUUUUGCAAAUGUGAAAGUCUUUUAACUUUGUUUAUCACCAAGGUCGUGGUCUGCCAUUGUGAUCUUGAAUAGACUUUUGGAUUCCUUGCUAGUUCUUUGUAUUUGCUUCAUACUCAAAAUUUAAUGAUUCGUGAUAUAUCUUGCUUAAAGGGUUGCAGUGGAACCUUUCGAGUACACUCUUGAAUAGUUCAAUUUUUAUUCUUCAUUGAGACAUGAACAUGAUAAUGAAGUGAAAUUAUUCCUUCAAGGCUAUAGAUGACUUCUUAAACAUUUGUUUUCAUAUCUUUCCUAUGCGGUCAUAGUAUUAUUUACUUGCAUGUUCUAUUGUUGAGUUAUCAUAACUAUGUGACACAUAUGGUUGUCUUUAUAUUUAGACUUACAAAUCAAAAAAAAUUUAUAAAUUUUUUAUUCUUUAUUUCCUACAAUAAGAAUUUAAAAUUCACUAAAUAGAAAUUUAAAUCAGUGCAAAAUACUAUUAAAUAUGAGAAUAAAAUCUUAUAAAUAUAUAUAUAGAAAUGUAUAUUAUCGUUUAUAGUCAAUUUUUAAGCAAAUUGUGAAAAUUCAACCUAUAAUGAUCACUUCUGGAAGAUUAGGAGACUUUGAGAUCUAUAAAGGAUUAUGUUUAUAUGUAUUUUUUGAAACAAUAUUGUUUAAAGAACUUUAAUAAAUAUAUAUUAAGGUAAAUAUUAUGACACAUGUACGUAUAAAUAAUCAUCCAAAAUUUAGUUAAAAGUUCAGAUAUAAAAUUAUAUCUCAAUAGUGCAUAAUGAUGUUUUCACCUGGUGACUUAUUUCCCUUAAUUCUCUAAACUACAAGUCUAGUCGCGCUCUAUAUAUAGCAGUUGUAGCAAUGGUCAGGUACAUACAUCUACCUCACCUUGUUAAAUUUCGUGUAGAAAAAAUGGUUUGAAUUUGUAAAAUAUCAUAUAUAGCUCCCAAUCUGUGAUAAUUUUUAAAUCUAAUUUAAUAUAACACCAAAUAUGAUAUUAUUAAAAACGUGUUCGCAUUGGUUUACUACGGUGAAUGAAUACAAUCUAAGAACUUUAGUGUGCUUAGGGCUGUAAAUGAGUUGAUACGCUCGAUAACUGCUCGGUGUUCGGUUCGAAAAAAGCUCUGUUCGAGCUCGGUUCGAUUCAUAAACGAGUCGAUCUUGAGCAUAAUUUUAAGGUUCGUUUUAUAAACGAGCUGAACUUGAGCACAGUAGAGUUCGAUUCGAUAGUUCGCGAACAAGUUCGAAUUAUAUGAGUUCGUACGUGAACUUGACUCGUGAGUGUAGUUUGUGAACUAGCUCGUGAACAUGAUUUAUUAUGAAUUUAUGAUUCCUUAGAGCAUAAAUUAAAAUAUUGUUAGAAUUUUAAUAUAUAUUUUUUGAUUAAAUUAAAUAACAAACAAGCUCAUAAAUAAAUUUAUAAGCAUAAGCUAGCUCCUUAUUAAAGUUUAUUAAACAAGCUCGUGAAUAAAAUUAAUGAGCGGUUGGUGAACAAAAAUUCGUGAGACAUGUUCGUGAGCGUAAGUUAAUGAGCGGUUCGUGAGAAAAAGCUCGUGAGACAUGUUCGUGAGCGGUUCGCGAGCCGUUCGUGAACAGUGUUAUUCCUUAAUAAGUCGAUCCUCAAACAAUAUUUUUGGCACUACCCAAGCUCGAGCUCGAGCUCGCUUAUUUUUUAACAAACGAUACACGAACACUUUAGAGUUCGGCUCGGCUCGACUCAUUUACACCCCUAAGUGUGCUGACAUAUUCAUCAAGUGUCCGGAAGCAAAGACAUACAUAGCAGUCAGAGGGCAGCAUAAGAUGAGGCACCCUUUGGACAUCGUACUAUAGAUAUUAUAAGGUAAUGGUGGAGCAUAAAAUUAUUAUUUUCCCCUUCUUCGAAAUAUGUUAUAUGGCAGCAUUGUUGUGUUUAGUUGUGUUUAGUUGAGGUGAAUGAAUUUGAAAGGAAUGGAAUGAAAUUUGAACUAUAUUUAGCUGAGGUACCUUUUGUAAAAGUAAGUUGUACUUCAGAACUGGGGAUGCAAACAUUGAUUAGUCGGUUCCAGAAUUGUUAUGCUUCAGUUGUUGAUUACAAAAUAAUCAACCGAUAUAAAUUGGAUUUUUCUGGAACUUCAACUAAAUCAAAAAUACUUUUGCAACCCUGAAAGUCUUUGAACUUUGUUUAUCACCAAAGCUGAGGUUUGCCAUUGUGAUCUUGAAUAGACUUCAGGAUUCUUUGAUAUUCUGAUUAUUUGUAUUUGCUUGAUACUCAAAACAUGAUGAUUCCUGAUAUAUCUUGCUUCAAGGGUUGCACUGAAACCUUCCGAGUAUUUAGACAAUAUCUUCAUUGCUUCCACAAUCUAGAAUACUUCAAAAAAUUUAUUCUUCACUGAGACAUGGACAUAUUAAUGUAAUUCUUCCGGUGAACUUAUUCCUUCAAGAUUAUAGAUGGCUUCUUCAACAUUUGUCUUCGUAUAUUCAAAUUUCUAUGCAGGCGUAGUAUUAUUUACUUGCAUGUUCUUCUGUUGAGUUAUCAUAACUAUGUGACAUAUAUGGUUGUCUUUACAUUUAGACUUACAAAUCAAAAAAUAAAUCAUGGCCUUAUUAUAUUAUUAUAUAUAUACACACACAAACACACAUAUGAAUCUUAUAAUUUCACACCGGCCCAGCCCAUAAUAGUCUAACCCAUUAUAUGCUUUUAUCUCUUCCUUGCCAUAUCCGCCCCUCUUUCCGACGAUCUCACCACUCUCACGAUCUAGCGAUUUGGUAACUUCUCGAGUAAAUCUUUAGGUAAGUCUUUUAAUUGGUAGCAUAUUAUCACUUGAUCAUCAAGUAGAAUUGUUAAAUCAUAGUUCUUAUGUAUAUAGAUCUUGAUAUCAUGUAUUGUGUGUUUACAUAUCUAGUUAUCCAGUGUCAAUGUGGUAGUUAAUUAUUGAUAUCAUUUUGAUAUACAUACAUGUUAUAUGCAAUUCAGUACACAUACUUUUAGAUUUAUGUUAGAUAUGUGAAUUUUAUUUGUUUAUCACUUUCAUUUUAAUCAAUAAGAAGGAGAAUUCCAAAUUACCGUCAAAUGCUAGAAGUUUUGAGUUUGUAUGUGUAUGAUUACACACAUGCGGAGGUGGUCAUUGCAUUGUUAGUAGAAUUUGGAAGGAAUAACAUGUCAAAGGUUAUUAGAGCAUCUCAAAAAGACUCCUGAAUCACUUUUUAAUAAAAUAUGCGGCUCUUAAUAAAUUAAUAUCAUGAAUAACGGGACAACUAUAAUCUUAAUACUUACUCCUUAAUUAUAUUUUAUUCUUAUAAUUUAAGAAAAAAGUUGUAAAUAUAAUUUGUGGUGAAGUAAAUAUCAUAUUCAUGAAUAAAAAGUCAAGAGAACCUAGAUAUUAUUUAAACGAGAAGAGAGAUAAGGUGCUUUUAAAUUUAUAAAAAGUUUUAGGAGUCUAUUGGAGACUAAUUGACAUCCUCUUUAAAUUUAAAGUUAUCAUUUUUUUCAAAGAAAAACCUUUUGAAGAUAUUCUUCUCUCUAUCCUCUUAAUAUUAAUAAUUACUAUAUGUUUAAUAAGAAUAAAUAAAUUUGGAACCUCCCAUAAAUUCUUCUCAGAGUAUUAAUCAAAACACUUAUUGAUAUAUCCAUUUUGUCCCAGAAUCCACAUGCUUGUGUGUUCUUUUAGCUUAAAAUAUAUUAAAAUAAAAAAAUGUGAUGCAUAUAAUUUAAACUCAGAACAACUUUUAGAGCCAAGUAACAUUUUAAUAUUUUAAUGGCCGGUAAAAUAUUCAAUACUAUAACCUUAAGUUCAUAAUUAUAUUCAUCAUGUUUUAGGGCUUGGUCCCGAGUUUUUUAAGAAGGGGAGUAAAGGGAUGGAAAGGUGCUUUCACUUGCAUCCCGUUUUUUGAGUGAAAGUUUUGGAUUGAAGUUCUCCUUAAAUUGCAUUCAUUUGCACUUGUUUUCGUGAUUCUAAAAAACUUGGGAGCACACAAAUAGGAGCGAAAAUUCUAUAAGUCUACUUCUUCACUUGCUUUCCACCUUAUUUGUAACUCAGGAGCACGGUGUUAUUACCCACAAUAGAAGUUGAUAUGGAAUACAAUAAUAGCUCACUAAAUUAAUUAUUAGUUAAGGCCUGAUUCUUGAUAUAUAUUAGUUAUUUUUGUAAAAGCUUGUUGAGGUUUGUUGUCUGGAGCCGGAUCUAGUAUCACGAUUACACAAUCGAUUUGAAGUGAUAUGUAACACUAUCCAAUUCCUAGAAAUAUUUGAAACUAAUCUCUUAGAGUUCUAGAUAAUUAUAAACUCAAGUGAUAUAGAACACUAUACAACUCCAACAAAAAUUUGAAACUAAUCUCUUAGAGUUCUGGAUAAUUAUAAACUCAGAUGGAUAUACAUUAAGAACCUAAACCUAGUCUAUCUCAAAAACCUAAGAAAUUAUUAUUAUAUAAAGGGUUCUGCCCCUAAUAACUACAACUAUGUUUUUGGCUUGAUCUUUCACGAGUAUGAAAGUACAUAAGCAUCUCGUAAGGAUCAUCUUAGUUCUGGUACACGAGAGUAGACAUUGAAUCUUGACGCUCACUAUUCACGAUCGUUGAUCUUCAACUAAUUUUCAUCCGUAACAAAAGUGGAAUGUGAGUUCCAAUGAGAAUGAUGCAAAAAUUAAAAGUGUUAAUAUUGAAUCCCUUGUGAAUGUAUCAAUAUGGCGCACAAAUAUAACAAAGAAUAGUAAUAUAGCAAGGCAUAAAAAGUUGGUUUUAGAGCCAUUACACAAAUAUUAAAAAUGCAUGGACUGAAAUUGGGAUACACAUUCUCAUUUUUUCAUAAAUUCGUUAAUAUUUUUAUUUAUAAAUACUUGCUUGAUUAAUACUAAAUAAAUUAACCUAAGAGACAAAACAAAAUAAAGUGUUAAAAUCUAAAAUUAUAUUUUAUAUGAAAAUGUCUAUAUAUGAAAAUGUGUGUAUAUAUGCAUUGAGAAAUGAAUUAUUAAUCAAAUAAAUGAAUAUUUUAUGUUAUAAAAGAACAUCAAUAUAUAUCAAGAAUGAUAAUCCUAAACUACAAGAUAUAUAAUUACUAUCAAUUGCAAUAACUAAUCCACUACAGAUAAUCCUAAACUACAAGAUAUAUAAUUACUAUCAAUUGUAAUAACUAAUCCACUACUGAUAAUCCUAAACUACAAGAUAUAUAAUUACUAUCAAUUGCAAUAACUAAUCCACUACUCUGAUCGAAUCCCUCCAAGAACUCUAAUCAUAUAUCAUGUUCUCAUGAAGGUUUGAAGUCCAUGAUCUAACAUUAAAGCUCCUCCCACGUGUGUCUUGGCCUCCUUUUUUCUCGUGUUAUUAUCCCUUAUUCAUAUGGGAGCUGAUGACAUAUGUCUCCUUCAAACAUGACCAAAACAUCAUAAUAUACCUUCCCUUCACAACUAUAAUCAGUUGACAAUUUAUUAAACAUGGCGCAUCCACAGAUUCAUUGUAAUAUCAAUCUCUGAGGACAUUCUUAUUGCCCAAGACCAAGGGCCAUAAUCGAACUACUAUGACCGCAACUUUAUAAAACUUUCUUUUAAUUUUAGAAGAAUUAUUUUUCACCUAAUACUCCUUAAACCUACCUCCAAUUUAACCAUUGUGAUUUUACGAUUUGAUAAGACGAGUGCCGUUAUUUAUCUAUCUUUACUUCUUUUGAAAUAAUAGAACCUAAAAUCAAAUACAUAUACAUGAUAGUGUUCCCAUCAUCUAUGUAUUUGCAUGUGGAAUAUAUCUAGUAUUGAUGUCUCCCUCCCAUCCCCCCUUACUCGUUACAACCAUCCCUACCUCUUUACCAGGAGCAUUUUGUUUAGUUAUAUUUUUUUUGCAUAUUGAUGGAGCAAUAUCAGUCUCUAGCUUUUUAAAUAUUACUUGAAUAUAACAAAACAAUUUCUGUGGAUAUAGUUUUAAUGUUGUAAUUACUUGUAGAAAUUAUAUGAUGAUAACAAAGAUUUGUAAUUAUUUUCAAAUCAAGACAUUUUUAAGCGUUCACUUCAUUGGAAUGGAUUGAUGAUUUAAAAUUUAGCUUGUUUGGUUGGUCAAAGAAAUGAAAUGGACCAUUCCCACCAUCGUUCCAUUCCAUCAAUGUUGUUGAAUUUCAUGCAUCCAAAACAUGUGGGAUGAGUUCAUUCAUGUUACACGCAAAAUUUUCAAAAAAAAAAAAUUACUAUAUCUUUCUCUGAAACUCAUCUGAAAAUUAAGCAUUUAAAUCUCUCUUACAUUUUUCAAAAUCAAAAUAUUAUACAAUUAUAUAUUAUUUUACAUUCCAUUCUAGUUAAAUUUUACUUCAAAGAACAAAUGCAUCAAAUGAUUAUGCCAUUCCACCAUCAUUCCAUUCCUCCCAAGUGAACGCAAUCUUCCCAUGUUUUCCUGAGAAUCCAAUUAUAUAUAGUUGUGGACCACCAACAAGUAUAAUUGAUCAUCAAUAAUCGACCACAUAUAUUUAACAUAUGUAGAUCUUCUCAAUUAUGAAAAAUAAAAUUACUGAUUAGAUUGUAUAAAAUAGUGAUUAUGCCGUAUAAACUAAUGAUUCCUAUAGUUGUACAGUGAUCGUUGAACUCAUUUUUAGUUUGUAUUUAACAAUUAGUUUGUAUUUAAUUUUUUGCAUUUUCCUUUUACAUUUCUAUUUAUUUAUAAUUCUUAUUUUAUCACAGAGCGGCAAAAAAUGACAAGGGACAGCAAAUUAUCUUUAAGGAAUUUGAAAAGGGAGCCAACAUCAAUAUAUGACUUAUCAGAUGAUAAUCUCAGUGAGAUAUUCUUUAGACUGCCGGUGAGAGUUCUUUUGUGCUGCCAAUGUGUGUGCAAACGCUUUAGCAAAGUGAUCACCGAUCCAAAAUUCAGAAAAAUCCAUGUUAAUCGAGCCAUGGCUUCCAACACCACUUCUUUUUGUUUGGUUCAAUGUUAAUCGAGCCAUGGCUUCCAACACCACUUCUUUUUGUUUGGUUCAUCUUAUUGUAAGUGAUUUAAGUGAUAUAUGUGGCAGUGUUGAGAAUUUCAAACAUCGAUAUGAUCACAUUCUUCUCGAGAAGACGCAAUUUUCUGCAUCCUUUUCUUAUCUGAGGCUCAGCAACCCCUUAAUAUCUGACAUCUCUAUAGUAGGUAGCAGUAACGGUCUUGUGUGCGCUCAACUUAAGUCCCUCGGGGAUCAAAGUGAAUCAAACAUGUUGAUCUGGAACCCUGUUACAAGAGAAAAUCGAUUUGUUGCUGAACCAAAGAGGCAUUCCCGGCCCACCAAGCAAAAGCGGUGGUUUAAAACUUUUCAUGCUCUUGCAUUUGGUUUCACACCCGGAACCAAUGAUUACAAAGUGGUCAGAAUCACUUCUUGUAAGGAGCCCGGUGAAGCUAGAGACAUUAAACUGGAGAUUUUUAACAUGAGUACUGACAAGUGGAGUGCAUACCAGAUAAAAACUCUGCAAUGUCGUGAGACCGAUCAUAUGCCCCCGCAGGUCGAUCCCUCUAUACUCUUAAAUAUGAUUCGGUCCCACAAUACCCCGUGUUUAAAAGGGGCAUUUCAUUGGCUUUGUGAUUCGUCACUAGGUGCAAGGGGGAAUGAUACAGCAAUCUUGUCAUUUGGCCUUGAAGAAGAGCAAUUGAGAUUGUUCACAGUGUUGGAUUCUAAUAAAAUUCCUCAUCUGAAGUCUGGGAAGCUAGAUUGUAUGAAUGAAUCGCUAUCAGUGAUUGUUCCUUAUUAUUCAAGUAAUUGCCCAAUCAUUGAUAUAUGGGUGAUGAAUGACUAUGGGGAUCGGAACUCCUGGAUUAAGAUGUACUCUGUCGAUCAGUUUCAAGGACUUGGAAUGGAGCCAAUAGGAUACUGGAAAGAUGAUCUCUUCCUGAUGGCCAAUUUGGCGAUGAAAGAUGGAUAUUUAUGCUUGUAUAACCUCAGAAACCAAGAAAUGAAGCCCUUCCCAGUUCAGUGGCAUUUCUACACUGCUGCUUUUUAUGAUUAUGUUGAAACAUUUGAAACAGUCAGACGGGCGAUUGCAACUACAGCGGAGGCUGUCUAGUAAGGUAAUAUACUUGCAUCUAUUUACACCACAUAAUGUGUGUUUACCACCUUGCAGAAGAUUAUAAAUUAUUCCAGAGUUGAAAAACGAAAACAAAAAUUUGUGUUGCAUAUCAAGUUUAAUUGCUAUCUGCAGAAUAUCUUAUAUGUACAUACAUACAUAUAAGGCUUAUUUCCGUUUUAACCCUCAAUGUUUGGGGGGUGUAUCGGCCUCAAUGUUUUAAUUCGGCCGAUUCAACCCUCCAAGUAUUAGAUAAGUUCCAAUUAGCCCUCAUAAUGGGAUGAAGCAAAAGAAAAAACGGUAUAUAACGGACGGUAAACUUGACAAUUACUUUUGAAGUAAAGUUUGCUCGUUCCUUUUAAUCCCUAAAGAAUACACUAGAUGUUUCUUUAACCCCUAAAAAAUACAUUAAAAUACAUAACAUGUCCCUUUUAACCUUCAAUGUUUAGUGACCUUUUAGCCCUCACGAGUGUGAAAUUGUCAUGGUUGCCCAUCCGAUAUAUACUAUUUUUUGGUACGAGAGCUAAUCGGAACAUAUCAUAUACUUAAAGGGUUGAAUCAGAUGAGUUAAAACAUUUAGAGUUAGAAGGGCAGUUAGCGUACAUAUAAACAUUCAAACUAGCAAGUCACUUGGAUCUAUUCAAGUACACUGCUCAUAAUGUGUCACUUACAGAACUCUCAAUUUGCCCAAAUUUCUUCGUUAUGGUUAAAAGGGUUGGAAAAUAGUAGAGUUAAAAGGGUUAAAGUAUAUAUAGAGAGCAAACACAUCUGUAAAAAGGGUUGGAAAAUAGUAGAGUUAAAAGGAUAUAUAUACAUUAUGGUUGUAAGUAUCAACAGGUGCAUUUAUGGAAAUGAUUAUAGCCUGAGUUGUUUUCAGAAUUACAGUUUCAUAUUCCAACUCUAAAAGCGUUUUCUUGACUUAUUUUCCAAGGCCUCCAUAUUGGCGUGUAGAUUUUCUUGAUAUAGUCUUGGCCUGCACCAUGUUGCAUAACAGUGUGAAUUAAAAUUAGAAUGGGCUUCCUGUAAUUGAACAUAACAGUUUCUUAUAAUAUGAUUCCCAGUUGUCAAACAAUUCUUUUGUUCUUGUUAUCCUCUGAAAGCUUAAAACUGUCUCCUUAUAUUUUUGUCACAUCUGCUGCUGUUUCCUAAUGCUUAAUUAUCUGACUUUUAGGUAUGAAAUAUGAAGCUUUCUUGAGAUCUUCUGAGGAUUGAAAGGCACUAAUUUGUCAAGUCCACAUGAAUCUUGGUCCAAAUAUGCCUUCAGCUAAAAUCUCAUAUAUGUUCUUUUAAUUAUGCUCUAUGGACAUCGUUUGUAACUUUGAUUGCUGGCUUUGCACAAGUUUACUUCUUUUCAUUUUAAGUUUCAAGAUUGUUGCGGACCUUUUAUGAAAAUUGAAUUUUGUUGGUAUAUACUAGCCAUCUUAAAUACGUUAAGUUUGGAAAUGGUACUAUAGAUAUUAUUAUAGCGUAAUAGUGGAGCUUAAAAAUAUAAUUAGCUCCUUUGAAAUAUGGCAUAUGGCAGCAAUUAUAUUCACAAGGAGGAUAAUUUGUUCCCAUGAUCUUAUUACUAUAAAAAACGUUGAAUCAUAUAUAGGUAAAUAAGCACAUUCAGAUUAAACAAAAUCAUGUUUUGUCCUAUAAAUACCUUAAAUGAUAUCUAUUUUCAUAUUUAUCAUAUUUUUUUAAUCAAAAACAGAUUCUGCAGCUUUUACAUAUUUAUGAUUUUUUUUAAAUCCAAAACAAAAAUUACUUAUAAAUUUUAAUUCUAAAAGCAUAUAAAUCCCACAAUUAUAAAAUCACUAUUAUUUAAUUUAUUUUCUUAAACAACAUACUAAAAAAAUAAUAUUAUGCACAAAAGUAUUUAUAUCAAAGAAAUAGAAAAUAAAAUAUAAAAAGUUAAUAUCACAAAAUUAUUUUAAUCAGAAAAUUUCAAACAUAAUCAAAUAUGGUAAAAAUAAAUUAUUACUUGAACACACAUACGACAAAAAUGCUAAAUUGACUAACCCGGAAAAACAUAGAGAUGGAAGC
Molecule: long non-coding RNA, 27131 nt
Filed under: Daucus carota (carrot)
Lineage: Eukaryota; Viridiplantae; Streptophyta; Magnoliopsida; Apiales; Apiaceae
Description: long non-coding RNA (DCAR_LNC002815)
Source: RNAcentral